GACGAACGCUGGCGGCGUGCUUAACACAUGCAAGUCGAGCGGAAAGGCCCUUCGGGGUACUCGAGCGGCGAACGGGUGAGUAACACGUGAGUAACCUGCCCCAGACUUUGGGAUAACCCUCGGAAACGGGGGCUAAUACCGGAUACGACACAGCUUCGCAUGGGGUCUGUGUGGAAAGUUUUUCGGUUUGGGAUGGGCCCGCGGCCUAUCAGCUUGUUGGUGGGGUGAUGGCCUACCAAGGCGACGACGGGUAGCCGGCCUGAGAGGGCGACCGGCCACACUGGGACUGAGACACGGCCCAGACUCCUACGGGAGGCAGCAGUGGGGAAUAUUGCACAAUGGGCGGAAGCCUGAUGCAGCGACGCCGCGUGAGGGAUGACGGCCUUCGGGUUGUAAACCUCUUUCAGCAGGGACGAAGCGUAAGUGACGGUACCUGCAGAAGAAGCGCCGGCCAACUACGUG
Molecule: ribosomal RNA, 462 nt
Filed under: uncultured bacterium
Lineage: Bacteria
Description: partial 16S ribosomal RNA
Rfam family: Bacterial small subunit ribosomal RNA
Source: RNAcentral